Paramuricea clavata is the source of this 1211-nucleotide non-coding RNA. Lineage: Eukaryota; Metazoa; Cnidaria; Anthozoa; Malacalcyonacea; Plexauridae. The record is from the annotation of a GenBank genome assembly.
UUUAAAUACAUUUUUUGUGUGUGUUUUGAUGUUAUGUACUAAGGUGAAUAGAAUGCUCGCGGGUUCGAUUCCCACCGUGGUCAGGCUAACUUUUCAGCCUGCCCGGUGUGGAUAUACACUGCAGAGUAACAUAAAAAAAUACUUUAAAUAAUAAAUGUUUGGAAAAUAUAAUGGUUUGUCAGUAAGGCGAGGUUUUCUGCAUGCAUGUAUUUUCUAGUAUUGGAAUAAGAUUCAUGCUACCGAUCGCGACGUUUUUUCAUAUAACUAUAUCUCUUGUCAUUUAUUCCUUUUGUCAGUUACGAAUAGACGUCAUAAGCUUCGUAUCAAAAUUUCCAUUUCAGAUCGUGCACUGUUUUCAUUUUAAACUGCUUGUAUCUAGACAUUUUAUAUUCGAAUAUGAAUAAAACAUUCAUAAUGACAAACAGUGAUAAAAAGAUGUUAACAUCACAUGAUCUGAAUUGCGAUUUGCAUACCGUACGAAGCUGAAGACGUCUGUUAACUUUCUCAGCAGUUGAAAUUUGUGCUAGUCCUAAAGAUGAUUGCAGUGAGUUUGCUACAUGCACAAACACUGGUCCGGGCAGUUAUAUAUGUACUUGCAAUCCUGGGUAUACUGGCGACGGAUACAAAUUUUGCAAAGGUUAGCAAGGACAUUUUCUCUCUAUUCAAAAAAGCGAUCAACAGUGUGCACUUUGGAUCCGAAUAUCAGUGUUUCGUUUUGGUUAUUAACUGUUCCAAUUCUCUUCAGAAAUCAAAAUCUGUGGAACUCCACAAGACGACUGCAGUGAAUUUGCAACCUGUGCUGAUACUGGACCUGGAACCUCCACCUGCACUUGUAAGAAGGGAUAUACUGGAAAUGGAAAGACCUGUGAAGGUGAGAAACGAUUUUUCUUUAUAACAAAAAUACAGGACCAGGAACUUUUACCUGUACCUGUAGCUGUAGCGAAGGAUAUAUACUGGAGAUGGAAAAACCUGUGAAGGUAAUAUUUGGUAUUUCUUUAAAAAACCGAUUGCCUCUGUCUCAGCAAAAUUCUUAGAUUACAAACUAAAUACAACUGUAAGUUAUGUCAUUCACUAAUGUGUUCUUGCAAAUUUCAGUAAGUGCUUCUUCAUUCAUAUUGCUUCCAUUAGAAAUCGAAAUAUGUGGAACUGCACAAGAAGAUUGCAGUGAAUUUGCAACGUGUGCUGACACGGGACCAGGAACUUAUACCUGU